GUUUGAGGCUGCUUUUAAUGUUUAAAUACUUAUUGAACUAAACAGUUCUAGAAACACUGCUGUGCUCACUAAGCCAGUGUAAUCAUUAGAAAGCUGAGUGGGGGAGGUGGAUCAUCUCUUGACACUGUGCAGAGCUUCCCCCAAAUUCUCAGUGCGUGCAAAAGAGAAGUGAAAUAGGGCAUUUCAAUUAUACCUCUACAAAAUUGAAAAAGGAGAGAGAUAAAUGAGAAGUCACAGGCAAAGGACAUGUGACUGAAGCCCCAACAAGUGU
This 271-nucleotide long non-coding RNA is filed under the name Bos taurus (domestic cattle). RNAcentral's name for it is "long non-coding RNA NONBTAT026847". The record is from RNAcentral. Lineage: Eukaryota; Metazoa; Chordata; Mammalia; Artiodactyla; Bovidae.